GAUGAAGAACGUAGCGAAAUGCGAUAAGCAAUGUGAAUUGCAGAAUCCAGUGAAUCAUCGAAUCUUUGAACGCACAUUGCGCCCGCCAGCAUUCUGGCGGGCAUGCCUGUUCGAGCGUCAUUUCAACCCUCGACCUCCCCUUGGGGAGGUCGGCGUUGGGGACCGGCAGCACACCGCCGGCCCUGAAAUGGAGUGGCGGCCCGUCUGCGGCGACCUCUGCGUAGUAAUACAGCUCGCACCGGAACCCCGACGCGGCCACGCCGUAAAACACCCAACUUCUGAACGUUGACCUCGAAUCAGGUAGGACUACCCGCUGAACUUAAGCAUAUCAAUAAGCGGAGGA
RNAcentral lists this unclassified non-coding RNA (343 nucleotides) under soil metagenome. RNAcentral describes it as "partial contains 5.8S ribosomal RNA, internal transcribed spacer 2, and large subunit ribosomal RNA". The stretch from base 1 to 120 matches the Rfam family "5.8S ribosomal RNA", at positions 35 to 154 of the family's 154-position model. The record is from RNAcentral.